GGAAACUUGACAGAGUUGGUUAGUUUGGAUCUUUACCUGAACAACUUAAAUGGUCCUAUUCCUCCCUCAUUGGGCAGGCUUCAGAAGCUACGCUUCCUGAGGCUCAAUAAUAACAGUUUGAAUGAAGGUAUUCCCAUGUCUCUAACCACCAUUGUUGCACUUCAAGUACUUGAUCUCUCAAACAACCAUUUGACAGGACUAGUUCCAGUCAACGGUUCCUUUUCACUUUUUACUCCUAUAAGUUUUGCUAAUAAUCAGUUGGAAGUUCCUCCAGUUUCUCCACCUCCUCCUCUUCCUCCUACACCCUCAUCGUCAUCUUCAGUGGGCAACAGCGCAACUGGAGCUAUCGCUGGAGG
RNAcentral lists this unclassified non-coding RNA (356 nucleotides) under Hevea brasiliensis (rubber tree). Lineage: Eukaryota; Viridiplantae; Streptophyta; Magnoliopsida; Malpighiales; Euphorbiaceae. The record is from RNAcentral.